UACCAAUUGUUGCCUCGGCGGAUCAGCCCGCUCCCGGUAAAACGGGACGGCCCGCCAGAGGACCCCUAAACUCUGUUUCUAUAUGUAACUUCUGAGUAAAACCAUAAAUAAAUCAAAACUUUCAACAACGGAUCUCUUGGUUCUGGCAUCGAUGAAGAACGCAGCAAAAUGCGAUAAGUAAUGUGAAUUGCAGAAUUCAGUGAAUCAUCGAAUCUUUGAACGCACAUUGCGCCCGCCAGUAUUCUGGCGGGCAUGCCUGUUCGAGCGUCAUUUCAACCCUCAAGCCCCCGGGUUUGGUGUUGGGGAUCGGCGAGCCCUUGCGGCAAGCCGGCCCCGAAAUCUAGUGGCGGUCUCGCUGCAGCUUCCAUUGCGUAGUAGUAAAACCCUCGCAACUGGUACGCGGCGCGGCCAAGCCGUUAAACCCCCAACUUCUGAAUGUUGACCUCGGAUCAGGUAGGAAUACCCGCUGAACUUAAGCAUAUCAAUAAGCGGA
This 493-nucleotide ribosomal RNA is filed under the name Fusarium sp. AQGSS14. Its description in RNAcentral is "eukaryotic LSU rRNA". The stretch from base 117 to 270 matches the Rfam family "5.8S ribosomal RNA". Lineage: Eukaryota; Fungi; Ascomycota; Sordariomycetes; Hypocreales; Nectriaceae. The record is from RNAcentral.